Non-coding RNA from Equus caballus (horse), 88 nucleotides. NCBI's taxonomy places the organism in Eukaryota, Metazoa, Chordata, Mammalia, Perissodactyla, Equidae. The record is from Rfam.
GGGGGCUCGGGGGGCCCCUGGAGGCCUCUGUACCCCACUUGAGAAAGGGUGGCAGUGGGGCAGCAGGCCUGGGGCCCCCAGGGCUCCA